GCCAUAGCUCAGUGGUAGGGUAUCUGCCUUGCGUGUGGAAGGUACCAGGUUCAAUCCCCAGUAUCUCCA
Podarcis lilfordi (Lilford's wall lizard) is the source of this 69-nucleotide non-coding RNA. The record is from the annotation of a GenBank genome assembly. Lineage: Eukaryota; Metazoa; Chordata; Lepidosauria; Squamata; Lacertidae.